GUGAUUACUUUGGCAGCACAUAUACUAAAAUUGGAAGAAUAGAGGGAAGAUUAGCAUGGACCCUGUGCAAUGAUGACAUGCAAAUUCAUGAAUCAUUCCAUAUUUUU
Molecule: small nuclear RNA, 107 nt
Filed under: Choloepus hoffmanni (Hoffmann's two-fingered sloth)
Lineage: Eukaryota; Metazoa; Chordata; Mammalia; Pilosa; Megalonychidae
Source: RNAcentral